UACGAAGGUGGCAAGCGUUGUUCGGAUUUACUGGGCGUACAGGGAGCGUAGGCGGUUGGAUAAGCCCUCCGUGAAAUCUCCAGGCUUAACCUGGAAAGUGCAGAGGGGACUGUUCAGCUAGAGGAUGGGAGAGGAGCGCGGAAUUCCCGGUGUAGCGGUGAAAUUCGUAGAUAUUGGGAAGAACACCGGUGGCGAAGGCGGCUAUCUGGACCGACAUUGACGCUGAGGCGCGAAAGCGUGGGGAGCAAACAGG
Molecule: ribosomal RNA, 253 nt
Filed under: uncultured bacterium
Lineage: Bacteria
Description: partial 16S ribosomal RNA
Rfam family: Bacterial small subunit ribosomal RNA
Source: RNAcentral